GAUGAACGCUGGCGGCGUGCCUAAUACAUGCAAGUCGAGCGAACGGACGAGAAGCUUGCUUCUCUGAUGUUAGUGGCGGACGGGUGAGUAACACGUGGAUAACCUACCUAUAAGACUGGGAUAACUUCGGGAAACCGUAGCUAAUACCGGAUAAUAUUUUGAACCGCAUGGUUCAAAAGUGAAAGACGGUCUUGCUGUCACUUAUAGAUGGAUCCGCGCUGCAUUAGCUAGUUGGUAAGGUAACGGCUUACCAAGGCAACGAUGCAUAGCCGACCUGAGAGGGUGAUCGGCCACACUGGAACUGAGGCACGGUCCAGACUCCUACGGGAGGCAGCAGUAGGGAAUCUUCCGCAAAGGGCGAAAGCCUGACGGAGCAACGACGCGUGAGUGAUGAAGGUCUUCGGAUCGUAAAACUCUGUUAUUAGGGAAGAACAUAUGUGUAAGUAACUGUGCACAUCUUGACGGUACCUAAUCAGAAAGCCACGGCUAACUACGUG
RNAcentral lists this ribosomal RNA (497 nucleotides) under uncultured bacterium. RNAcentral describes it as "partial 16S ribosomal RNA". It matches the Rfam family "Bacterial small subunit ribosomal RNA", at positions 28 to 507 of the family's 1533-position model. The record is from RNAcentral.